GGGACGAAAAACUAUCUUUCGUGAAUGUACCAACCAAAACAACUUUCUCAACUAUUUUCUCAUGUAUGUUCAACUGAUCUGGAAUUGAGUGGUUGAGUACACCCAUUUAUUUCAAUUUAGGAAUCAUAAAAACAACUAAAACACAAUACAAUAAUUAAAAUACACAAACAAUAACAACAACAUUCAACACAAAUAUUUUAAAUUAUACUUGUACCUCAAUCAUAUCCCGAGUACAAUUCUCUCUGCCAACCUCAACCAACGUC
RNAcentral lists this long non-coding RNA (263 nucleotides) under Lathyrus oleraceus (garden pea). RNAcentral describes it as "Pisum sativum (pea) long non-coding RNA (PSAT_LNC028365)". The record is from RNAcentral. Lineage: Eukaryota; Viridiplantae; Streptophyta; Magnoliopsida; Fabales; Fabaceae.